This is a long non-coding RNA of Acinonyx jubatus (cheetah), 3536 nucleotides long. RefSeq lists it as uncharacterized. The transcript is spliced from 2 exons. NCBI's taxonomy places the organism in Eukaryota, Metazoa, Chordata, Mammalia, Carnivora, Felidae. The record is from RefSeq and is a predicted model, not a curated record.
CUGGAUGUAGCCCUACGUGAUGUUGGGGUCUGUCCUGCUUUCCUGCUGCGUGUUGGUGGACGUUCCCAUCUUGUUCCCAGCCAUGACAUUCACACUGCCACUACUGAUAGUCCUGGUCUGGCUUCAAAGCCCCAGUAGGUCCACCCUCUGUGAAAGGCACACAGGGAAAGAUCUCUCUGCUUUCUGAGCUCUCUCUAUCCAGAUGUGUGGAGACUGUACAACCUCCUGGGACUAUCCUUCUAGGUACAUUCAUAUAUAUAUUUAAAUAGAAACAUCACUUUUAUUGACAAGUUAGGGCCACAGAUAAGACAGUCCCAAGACAAAUACACACACACACACACACACACACACACACACACACACACACGGAUGUAUAUCUAUCUGCAGGGUUUGUCUUUGGAGAAAUGAACCUGAAGUUACAGUUCAGUCCAAAGACUACUGCAGAUUUUCCGCUUGCUCAGGGGAGGUCAGUCUUUUGUUCUAUUUAGGCCUUCAACUGAUUGGAUGAGGCCCACCCUCAAUACAGAAAGCAAUCUGCUUUAUUCAAAGUCCACUCAUUUAAAUAUUAAUCUUAUCCAAAAACACCCUCACAGAAAGAUCCAGAGUAGUCUUUGGUGACAUAUCUGGCACUGUGGCUCAGCCAGAUGACAUAAAAAUAACCAUCACAGUGGCCCUUAACUCUAGAAGCCAAUGGCGAUGUUAAAAAGCAUUGACUUCCUGAUGACAAGACUUGGGCCAUGGUGUCCCUAAGGAGGGCCUUACUUGGUGGUCCCGUCUCUGGUGUUCUGCCACACCUAUGCCUCAGACUAGGAGGACCCAGCUCUCUCUAGCCUCCCAGAUCAAAGCCUUUGCUAAAUCGCUCCCUGCUGCUUCUUCAGCCUAAAAUGGGAGAGAGAGAUUGCCCCCAGGUUCUGCUCUUUCUCUGAGGUUGCCAAUUCAAAGGCAUAGGAUUAAAAAUAGCCCUCUUUCCAGAGUCAGCCUGGAUGAAUUCCUCGGGGGGCUGUCCCGUGAAAGCACAUCUGUCAGGGGCUUAUGAGCCUGUCCAGUCCUGCCUUCCACUUGCUAGCAGGUGAAGAGAAGUGACCUGCUGUAGCAAAUCGCUCGUGUCCUUUGGGUAUUUUAUGUGACUUCUGGAAGCCAUCUGCAUCAGCUCCAGCUUCUAUCCUCCUCCGAAGAGGAUGGAUAGUUGUAGACUGGCUGUGUCUGAGAACUCCAUAUGCUUGUUCACCUUCUACAGACAAAUGCGCACUCCACACUGGAUCCUUUCUAAUGGCAGGGGUCCUUUCACCUUGGAAACUCCAAGAGUUUUUUUCCUUUGGCAGAGACAGUGUGGUCAGGACUUGCACGAGAAUGAAGGGAGUGUCAAUCCAGGUUGGAAUCCCUGACCUGCACUUGCUUGCCUCCGGUCGGGUCUGUGCUCAUCUCUGUUGCUUUAUUUUGCAUCCCAGCAGCAAAUGUGCCGGUUAUAGCCAGCAUUUAUUCACUUUUUGACAUUUCCAGGAUGCCUGCUAAGCUCCUGCCCUAUGUGGGGUGCUAGGAACAUAGGGACAAAUCAGCCACAGGCAGUGCUUUCAAGGGGGCUCCCAGUCCAGUGGGACCCUUGGAGCGGAGAGUGGCAGAGCUCUCUCCCACCUCCUUGGACCCCACUUUACCAUCGCUGCUGUCAACAUCAUGUUUUUAAUAGCUUGUGUCUGUUGCUCUUCUUGAAGGACUCUACUAGGGUGACUGGAGCCACUUUGCAAGGAUGUGCCUUGGGGUUUACAUUAAUUUCCCUCUCCCACCCUGGCUGCCACUAAUCAAUGCCUGUUGGGCAUGAAGUGUGGGAGCCCAGCCCCUUGUCUGGUGGUGGGACACUUCUGAGGUGCAGAUGACCCUCGUGAAUUCCCGAGGGGUCAGCCCGAAGCCACCCUCUGCUUCACUUCCGUCUGAGAUCUCCUCCUGGCUCAGCUUCCUCCGCUUCCUGUCCUGUCCUCCCUUCUCCCCACACCGAUCUUCCCCCAGGAAUUGCCUUCAUAAAUCCCUGCUAUGUGAUUCCUCUUCUGAAGGUCUGCUUUGGGGGGAGUGUAUCCUAAGUCACAGCAACCUAGUCAGAAAAAUACAGAACCAUAUGAUUAAGCUUCAGGGGUGCUGGGAACACAGGUCAGGGACUGUGGGUGAGUGAAUGUGUGAGUGUGACACACACAGAAAAGCGUGUCUGGGGAGUUUUGGCGCCACAGGGAUGCUCGUGUAGAGUCGCCGUGUCUAUUCUGUUUCUGGCUGCCUGGCAUCUGAGCCCUUUACCUGAGUGAGUCUGGCUGCAAUGCAGGCUGUGUGGCCCACCACGGAAGUUGAAAAGCCCAAUUUUCCCAUUCUCUGCCCCUCCUUAUAAGAAGGGCAAAGUCCCCCAGACUUGCCCAUUUGGACAGAUCGGUCGGAACUUGGCAUUGCAGCUUCUGAGUCACAUUUCUUAUUGGACUGGUGAUGGUGGCAGUGUGGGGGCAGUCAGCCCGCGGCAGGUGGUGAUGGUGAGGCCCACACCUAUGGCUUCUGGUGCUUGGCAGUGGAGGGGUCGGCCCUGAACUGUUUUGCACUGCGGUCUCGGCCGCGGUUCUGACUGUGAUUUUCCAUCAUUCCCGACCACCUGCCUAGGCUUCUCAGUGAUGCUGGGAGCUCCUCUGGCAGGCUGCUUUAGUGCUGAAGUCACCUGGAGGCAGAUUCUGUUGUAGCCAAGAGGCCUGACUGGCCUUGGGUCAAAAGUCUGGGGAGGAUGGAGGGAAAGGGCAAGGGGAGGGGGCAUGUGAAAAGCCACGGAGGUGGAAGGGGCACCAGGAGCUACGGAAGUUUGACAUUUAUUGGACACAGAGUCAGGGAUGAGCUGGAGAGCCCAGAGCAAAAGGAUCUCAGGGGUUCUGCGAUGGAGAUGGGCCUGUUUCUGUUGCUUUUUCUUCCAGAUGUAACCCAGAUGGGGAGAUGGGCCUUCGAUGCUCAGUGACUGAAACUCUUUGGCCAUAUGAUAAAUUGUAGUAUAUUUUAUUUUCAAAUGAAUGUUUCUGUAACAUCUCCUGCCUCUAACUUCCUGGAACCUGGGACCCAGAACUAACCACGAAGAAAGGGUCCUGGUUUUUCUGGAAUUCCAACCCCUCUGACACAAGAGGAGCCAAGGCAGUGGGGAUGGUCCUUUUCAAAGCAGUUCCCAUUCUCUGUCUAACUUAUGCGUUCUGUUUAUCAACUUCUUACAGGUAAGAAAACUGAGGCUCAUGUGACUUAAAGGUUGUUUGAGGUGACCCAAUGACAGAACAUUGAUGCUGGUCACGUUUCAGUGUCUGCCUGGAGCACAGGUGAAAUACGGCUCACUUCCAGUGUGGCGAUGAGGCAUCAAUCUUAUUUCUUCUGUGUCUUUCCAGUUUGGAUGUGAGAGAAGAUGUACAUUCAUCAGGGACGCCUAAGACCCCUGUUAAGAAUUCAGCUCUAACUGAACAAAAGCCUCGGGGUUCACAGUUAUAGGUGGAUCACGCCUUGGCAAUGAGGGGGCUAAUAAAUGACUCUGACGUCCAUAA